GGGUGCGCAGAAGCAGGGCGCAAAGAAGGCGCCUGCCAAGAAGGGCAAGGCUGCCGGCGCCAAGAAGAAGGCGUCUCUUUCGCGCAGCCGCUCUGGCAGCAGGUACCAACUAUCCCACAUCACCUCCAGUAGAACAGCUUUGCAAUUUUUGCAUUUGAAGCAUCCCCAUGCAUGCAUGUCCAUGACUUAAAAAGGCUGCUAUCAGGGAUUGAAGCACCCAUGUCUCAGGAAUCAUUUUGAUCGUCUCACAUGCAUUCCUUCACCCUUCCAUCAAUCUGAACAGCCUCCUUUGUGUGUCAUGCGAAUUUGAAGGCCGCCUGACAUGGAGAGCUCUUCGCAUGACAGCGUGUGCAUGAUCACAGGAGGACGACGCCUGCAAGCAGCAACGAGGAGGAGGCAUCAGACGAGGAGGAAGACGCGUCGCAGGAGUCAUCAGAGUCUGACGUGGACGAGUCAGACUUGGAGCGCGUGGAGAAGAUCCUGGACGUGCGCGAAGACAAGGGCGGCAAGGAGAAGAUCUUUGUCAAAUUCAAG
This 534-nucleotide long non-coding RNA is filed under the name Coccomyxa subellipsoidea. RNAcentral describes it as "long non-coding RNA (CSUB_LNC000410)". Lineage: Eukaryota; Viridiplantae; Chlorophyta; Trebouxiophyceae; Coccomyxaceae. The record is from RNAcentral.